Molecule: ribosomal RNA, 720 nt
Filed under: uncultured Bacteroidales bacterium
Lineage: Bacteria; Pseudomonadati; Bacteroidota; Bacteroidia; Bacteroidales
Description: bacterial SSU rRNA
Rfam family: Bacterial small subunit ribosomal RNA
Source: RNAcentral
GAUGAACGCUAGCUACAGGCUUAACACAUGCAAGUCGAGGGGCAGCAUGGUCUUAGCUUGCUAAGGCUGAUGGCGACCGGCGCACGGGUGAGUAACACGUAUCCAACCUGCCGUCUACUCUUGGCCAGCCUUCUGAAAGGAAGAUUAAUCCAGGAUGGCAUCAUGAGUUCACAUGUCCGCAUGAUUAAAGGUAUUUUCCGGUAGACGAUGGGGAUGCGUUCCAUUAGAUAGUAGGCGGGGUAACGGCCCACCUAGUCAACGAUGGAUAGGGGUUCUGAGAGGAAGGUCCCCCACAUUGGAACUGAGACACGGUCCAAACUCCUACGGGAGGCAGCAGUGAGGAAUAUUGGUCAAUGGGCGAUGGCCUGAACCAGCCAAGUAGCGUGAAGGAUGACUGCCCUAUGGGUUGUAAACUUCUUUUAUAAAGGAAUAAAGUCGGGUAUGCAUACCCGUUUGCAUGUACUUUAUGAAUAAGGAUCGGCUAACUCCGUGCCAGCAGCCGCGGUAAUACGGAGGAUCCGAGCGUUAUCCGGAUUUAUUGGGUUUAAAGGGAGCGUAGAUGGAUGUUUAAGUCAGUUGUGAAAGUUUGCGGCUCAACCGUAAAAUUGCAGUUGAUACUGGAUGUCUUGAGUGCAGUUGAGGCAGGCGGAAUUCGUGGUGUAGCGGUGAAAUGCUUAGAUAUCACGAAGAACUCCGAUUGCGAAGGCAGCCUGCUAAGCU